Molecule: unclassified non-coding RNA, 290 nt
Filed under: uncultured Suillus
Lineage: Eukaryota; Fungi; Basidiomycota; Agaricomycetes; Boletales; Suillaceae
Description: sequence contains ITS1
Rfam family: 5.8S ribosomal RNA (bases 1-119)
Source: RNAcentral
GAAAGGCGAAACGUAAUGUGAAUCGCAACUAACAGUGAAUCAUCGAAUUUUUGAACGCAGGCCGCGCCUUCUUAUCAUAUACAUAUAUGGUAUCGGAAGGCACCCACAUUUGAGUGUCAGCCAAACAUCUUUUUGGUUCAUGAGGGAAUACAUAUGCAAGCUAUACUUUAUAGUAUGUGCCAUUUUAUGUAUAUAACUUAUGGAUACACACUUGUUGUAAAACACAUAUCACUUGACAUGUUUGAAACAAGGUCUGGCCUCAAACGUGAGAGAUUACCCGCUGGAUUUAA